RNAcentral lists this ribosomal RNA (468 nucleotides) under uncultured bacterium. RNAcentral's name for it is "partial 16S ribosomal RNA". It matches the Rfam family "Bacterial small subunit ribosomal RNA", at positions 28 to 507 of the family's 1533-position model. The record is from RNAcentral.
GAUGAACGCUGGCGGCGUGCUUAACACAUGCAAGUCGAACGGAAAGGCCCAAGCUUGCUUGGGUACUCGAGUGGCGAACGGGUGAGUAACACGUGGGUGAUCUGCCCUGCACUUCGGGAUAAGCCUGGGAAACUGGGUCUAAUACCGGAUAGGACGAUGGUUUGGAUGCCAUUGUGGAAAGUUUUUUCGGUGUGGGAUGAGCUCGCGGCCUAUCAGCUUGUUGGUGGGGUAAUGGCCUACCAAGGCGUCGACGGGUAGCCGGCCUGAGGGGGUGUACGGCCACAUUGGGACUGAGAUACGGCCCAGACUCCUGCGGGAGGCAGCAGUGGGGAAUAUUGCACAAUGGGCGCAAGCCUGAUGCAGCGACGCCGCGUGGGGGAUGACGGCCUUCGGGUUGUAAACUCCUUUCGCUAGGGACGAAGCGUUUUUGUGACGGUACCUGGAGAAGAAGCACCGGCUAACUACGUG